RNAcentral lists this ribosomal RNA (1083 nucleotides) under Triticum aestivum (bread wheat). RNAcentral describes it as "partial small subunit ribosomal RNA". The record is from RNAcentral. Lineage: Eukaryota; Viridiplantae; Streptophyta; Magnoliopsida; Poales; Poaceae.
CCGCCCGUUCCCUCCCGCACCUUAUCCUUCCCUGAUCCCCCGUACAAAAACCACUCCUUUCCCUCUAUGUGACCCACCCAACCCCAAGCACCGCAGCCGGCCACACUCCUUCCUCCUCCAGCGCCAAGAACUCGACAACCACCGGAGGUUCAGCCGAGCUCGACCGAUGGCGUCGCUCUCCGUGGCCACGCUCCCGCAGCUCGCCGGCGCGCCGGCGGCGGCGGCGGCGAAGAAGAGGUCCGGCGUGACGUACGUGGAGGGCAUGAACGCCUACAGCGGCCUCAAGGGGCUCAACAAGGUGACCAUGCUGGGCGUGCGCAAGAGCGCCGACUACAAGUUCGCCAGGAUCGUGGCGUCGCUCAGCCCCGCGGGGAAGAGGCGCGGGGGCUCGUUUGGCGCGCAGUGCAACGCCGCCGGGGAGAUCUUCCAGAUCGCCGUCGUCAUGAACGCGCUCACGCUCGUCGGCGUCGCCGUCGGCUUCGUGCUGCUCCGGGCCGAGGCGGCCUUCGAGGAGUCGGAGGAGUGAGUGAAACCCAACCCAACGCCGUGUGCCUGCCCUGACCAGCCGUUUCAGUUCAGUUCAGUUCAGGCUGCUGUUUGGCUGGCGCGUAAGCCGUGAUAUAUAAAACGUGAUGUAUGCUAUUUUACAUUUGGUUUUGUAUCAAUGACAAUCGAUUGAUGAAUACCCCGGAAACACAUUUUUGGAGGCUCAGCCCUGCAAAUUUGUCUCUCGAUUGUUCGCUGCUUGUCUGAUUCUUCUCUAGGAAGAGUACACUUCGAAAGGGGAAAUGUUUUUCGGAAAAGAAAAGAGGAAAAUGUUAUGCAAGACUGAUAACACAAUGUUCAAAAGUCAUAAUGCAACAAUAUCUGACACCUUGCAAACCCAAGUCAUAUAUACUACUCCCUCCGUCCCAUAAUAUAAGACGUUUUUUGACUUAGUAUAGUGUCAAGAAACGUCUUACAUUAUGGAACGGAGGGAGUACUUGAUAGCAAGGUGGAAAUGCGGAACAAAAGUGUAUUCUCUCUUCAGGCUCAUUCGACUCACAAGAAUGGAGGUACUAGAUUCCUUAUGAUGAUUAUGCC